Molecule: ribosomal RNA, 484 nt
Filed under: uncultured bacterium
Lineage: Bacteria
Description: bacterial SSU rRNA
Rfam family: Bacterial small subunit ribosomal RNA
Source: RNAcentral
GAUGAACGCUAGCGGCAGGCUUAAUACAUGCAAGUCGUACGGGAUCCGAGGUAGCAAUACUUUGGUGAGAGUGGCGCACGGGUGCGUAACACGUAUGCAACCUACCUAUAACCGGGACACAACCCACCGAAAGGUGAGCUAAUAUCCCAUAACACUGCGAGAUGGCAUCAUAUUGCAGUUAAAACUCUGGUGGUUAUAGAUGGGCAUGCGCGACAUUAGCUAGUUGGUGAGGUAACGGCUCACCAAGGCGACGAUGUCUAGGGGUUCUGAGAGGAAGGUCCCCCACACUGGUACUGAGACACGGACCAGACUCCUACGGGAGGCAGCAGUGAGGAAUAUUGGUCAAUGGGCGAGAGCCUGAACCAGCCAAGUCGCGUGAAGGAAGAAGGUUCUAUGGAUUGUAAACUUCUUUUGCAGGGGAAUAAAGGACGGUACGUGUACUGUUUUGUAUGUACCUUGCGAAUAAGGAUCGGCUAACUCCGUG